CCUACGGGAGGCAGCAGUAGGGAAUCUUCCACAAUGGGCGAAAGCCUGAUGGAGCAACGCCGCGUGGGUGAAGAAGGUCUUCGGAUCGUAAAACCCUGUUGUUAGAGAAGAAAGUGCGUGAGAGUAACUGUUCACGUUUCGACGGUAUCUAACCAGAAAGCCACGGCUAACUACGUGACAGCAGCCGCGGUAAUACGUAGGUGGCAAGCGUUAUCCGGAUUUAUUGGGCGUAAAGGGAACGCAGGCGGUCUUUUAAGUCUGAUGUGAAAGCCUUCGGCUUAACCGGAGUAGUGCAUUGGAAACUGUGAGACUUGAGUGCAGAAGAGGAGAGUGGAACUCCAGGUGUAGCGGUGAAAUGCUUAGAUAUAUGGAAGAACACCAGUGGCGAAAGCGGCUCUCUGGUCUGUAACUGACGCUGAGGUUCGAAAGCGUGGGUAGCAAACAGGAUUAGAUACCCUAGUAGUC
This 465-nucleotide ribosomal RNA is filed under the name uncultured bacterium. RNAcentral describes it as "partial 16S ribosomal RNA". It matches the Rfam family "Bacterial small subunit ribosomal RNA", at positions 338 to 795 of the family's 1533-position model. The record is from RNAcentral.